This 253-nucleotide ribosomal RNA is filed under the name uncultured bacterium. RNAcentral describes it as "partial 16S ribosomal RNA". It matches the Rfam family "Bacterial small subunit ribosomal RNA", at positions 524 to 776 of the family's 1533-position model. The record is from RNAcentral.
UACGUAGGGCGCAAGCGUUAUCCGGAAUUAUUGGGCGUAAAGGGUGCGUAGGCGGUUCGGUAAGUUUCGUGUGAAAUCUUCGGGCUCAACUCGAAGCCUGCACGAGAUACUGCCGGGCUUGAGUGUGGGAGAGGUGAGUGGAAUUUCCGGUGUAGCGGUGAAAUGCGUAGAUAUCGGAAGGAACACCUGUGGCGAAAGCGGCUCACUGGACCACAACUGACGCUGAGGCACGAAAGCUAGGGGAGCAAACAGG